Molecule: ribosomal RNA, 738 nt
Filed under: uncultured bacterium
Lineage: Bacteria
Description: bacterial SSU rRNA
Rfam family: Bacterial small subunit ribosomal RNA
Source: RNAcentral
ACGGGUGAGUAACGCGUGGAUAACCUGCCGUAUACAGGGGGAUAACACUUAGAAAUAGGUGCUAAUACCGCAUAAGCGCACGGUUCCGCAUGGAACAGUGUGAAAAACUCCGGUGGUAUACGAUGGAUCCGCGUCUGAUUAGCCAGUUGGCGGGGUAACGGCCCACCAAAGCGACAAUCAGUAGCCGGCCUGAGAGGGUGAACGGCCACAUUGGGACUGAGACACGGCCCAAACUCCUACGGGAGGCAGCAGUGGGGAAUAUUGCACAAUGGGGGAAACCCUGAUGCAGCGACGCCGCGUGAGUGAAGAAGUAUCUCGGUACGUAAAGCUCUAUCAGCAGGGAAGAAAAUGACGGUACCUGACUAAGAAGCCCCGGCUAACUACGUGCCAGCAGCCGCGGUAAUACGUAGGGGGCAAGCGUUAUCCGGAUUUACUGGGUGUAAAGGGAGCGUAGACGGCAGCGCAAGUCUGGAGUGAAAUGCCGGGGCCCAACCCCGGAACUGCUUUGGAAACUGUGCAGCUCGAGUGCAGGAGAGGUAAGCGGAAUUCCUAGUGUAGCGGUGAAAUGCGUAGAUAUUAGGAGGAACACCAGUGGCGAAGGCGGCUUACUGGACUGUAACUGACGUUGAGGCUCGAAAGCGUGGGGAGCAAACAGGAUUAGAUACCCUGGUAGUCCACGCCGUAAACGAUGAUUACUAGGUGUCGGGGGGCCAAGGCCCUCCGGUGCCGCCGCAAACG